Molecule: long non-coding RNA, 367 nt
Filed under: Homo sapiens (human)
Lineage: Eukaryota; Metazoa; Chordata; Mammalia; Primates; Hominidae
Description: HSALNT0206002
Source: RNAcentral
CACAGCUGGACCUGGGAUAGUCGGCUGGCCGCAAAGGCCUGGGAGAAGAAUCUGAAAGCUUACACCAGGAUGAGGGAAAGAGAGUCGCCUUACUCUGAAGAGUGAGGGAAGUGAUAUGGAGAAAAUUUUACAGAUAUUUUAGGUCAGUAGUGGCCAAUAUGGUGAGAUAAUGGCUCAUGGCAGACAACAAACAUCUAUGCCUCGACUAACUGUUCCCGAAACUACUGUCCAUUAAUUAAUCCUAAAGCCAAAAGAGGGUAAUAAUCAGAAAAGUAUUUUAUACCUAAGAGCUCAAAAGAUCAGCUAGAUGGGAAGAAUCACUGAAGCACUAAACAGUAUCAUACAGAUUUGAAAGUUACCAUUUUGC